UACGGAGGGUGCGAGCGUUGUCCGGAAUCACUGGGCGUAAAGGGCGCGUAGGCGGCUGGGGAAGUCGGUGGUGAAAGCUCGUGGCUCAACUACGAGUCGGCCAACGAUACUCCUCGGCUCGAGCACUGUAGAGGCAGGUGGAAUUCCGGGUGUAGCGGUGGAAUGCGUAGAGAUCCGGAAGAACACCGGUGGCGAAGGCGGUUAGCUGGGCAGUAGCUGACACUGAGGCGCGACAGCGUGGGGGAGCAAACAGG
Molecule: ribosomal RNA, 254 nt
Filed under: uncultured bacterium
Lineage: Bacteria
Description: partial 16S ribosomal RNA
Rfam family: Bacterial small subunit ribosomal RNA
Source: RNAcentral